CAGGUACAGAGGGGCUAGAAUCUUAAUACAGGAGAGGAGCUUGAAGUCUCCCCACUUUCCUUUAUAAGGAGCCAAGGCCUAGGCCUUUGCCUGAGGACAUGAACCUGCAUCCACCCAAAACAAGCAGGCUGCUGAACUCCAGGUUGAGAGCUCUGCUUAGAAGGCGGCACUGUUCUGCUCCUUGCUUUCUGCCGGGGAGCCCUGCCCUCUCCAUACCCUUGAAGGAGACACUUCUGGCUCUCACAUAUGGCUCUCAGGUGUGGAGCUGAGCAAAUCCACUCAGAGCCCCGGCCUGCCAGAAGCCAAGAAUGAGGUCAGGAAAGGCCCUCCAAUUCCUUGACCCACAGCAAGACUCCGGCUGUUGGCUGGCCCUUCCCAAGGGCACUGAAGGGGCCAUCUUGGGCAUUGAGGCCAUUCCCAAGUACUUCCUCGCUGCUGGUGAAAGAGACACAGAACUAAUCUCCUCCCGCCCAGCCAGACUGCACCUACUCCGAGUUCGCAGGAUGGAUGUGAGCAGAAACUCUAACCUUGGUGAUCUCUUUACCUGGAUUUUAGCCUGGGAAGCCCAGAAAACAAAUUCUGACUUGAGUUAAGCUAGAGGAACUGGGCUUGUGUGCUUAUGUCGUUCCCGUAGCCUGCUCUGUGACCCGGAUUUCUGCCUUUCCUACCCGACCGUCCCGAGAGCCACUGUCCCGCAAGGAUCCAGUCUGGAGGCCCGGCGAGCUGGAGUCCUCUCG
Long non-coding RNA from Chinchilla lanigera (long-tailed chinchilla), 737 nucleotides. RefSeq lists it as uncharacterized. The record is from RefSeq and is a predicted model, not a curated record. The transcript has 3 exons. Lineage: Eukaryota; Metazoa; Chordata; Mammalia; Rodentia; Chinchillidae.